RNAcentral lists this long non-coding RNA (568 nucleotides) under Rattus norvegicus (Norway rat). RNAcentral's name for it is "long non-coding RNA NONRATT011574". The record is from RNAcentral. Lineage: Eukaryota; Metazoa; Chordata; Mammalia; Rodentia; Muridae.
AAGGCCACUGGCAAAUGCCGUGAAGGAUUACGGCAGUGUGGAUGGCCGUCUUAAGGCCUGAGGCAGAGACUGAGGGUUCCUAUUCCAGAGUCAACAUUCAGGCCUUCAGCACCCGAAUGGACUAAGCUUACUGAAGUCACCGGCAGAAGACAUACACAAGCGGCACCAGAACCCUCAGAACUAACAGAAAUACAGACGGAAGCAGAAAAGCAGCGACGAUCCCAGAAAAUGGCUGUUAACAUAUCGAUGCCGUAAGACUUUAAGAUCGCCUGAAAUUGAUUCUCAUAAUUUCCCCCCGGCGCUUGAGAUUGUUUUCCCGUUGCUCUUGCAGCUUCUGCUGGACGCGGUAGCUCAAGUGGAGUCAAUGUGCGUUCAGACCUUCGAGCUCCCACCUCACGCCUGAGCAUGCCACCACCCGCUUGCUCCUACCCAGACUGCAGUGACUUAAGAUGCACUGACUCUCGUGUCCUUUCCACCCAGAUAGGAGGAGAAGAGGAUGAAUAUGAUCAUAAUAUAUUGGAUACAUGUAUAAAAUCAUCAAAGAUUGAAUAAAAGGUAUUUUUAAUGG